This 72-nucleotide transfer RNA is filed under the name Canis lupus familiaris (dog). It matches the Rfam family "tRNA". From Rfam's summary of the family: Transfer RNA (tRNA) molecules are approximately 80 nucleotides in length. Their secondary structure includes four short double-helical elements and three loops (D, anti-codon, and T loops). Lineage: Eukaryota; Metazoa; Chordata; Mammalia; Carnivora; Canidae. RNAcentral also lists the same sequence under 1 other name. The record is from Rfam by way of RNAcentral.
ACCUGGCUGGCUCAGUUGGAAGAGCAUGUGACUCCCAAUCUGGGAUUAUGAGUUCAAGCCCCAUGUUGGGUG